RNAcentral lists this non-coding RNA (28 nucleotides) under Rattus norvegicus (Norway rat). The record is from RNAcentral. Lineage: Eukaryota; Metazoa; Chordata; Mammalia; Rodentia; Muridae.
UAGUUUAGGAUGGCCUCGGAUUAUACUU